CAUCUCAAACCUUUGCGUACCAAAUCUCGUCUCUUGCGGGGGGUCCGCCCCCCGCGAGGAACCAAAACAGUCGUCUGAUGUUGUCAGAAACUCACAAAAGAAAACAACUUUCAACAAUGGAUCUCUUGGCUCCGGCAUCGAUGAAGAACGCAGCGAAAUGCGAUAGCUAGUGUGAAUUGCAGAUUUUAGUGAAUCAUCGAGUCUUUGAACGCACAUUGCGCCCUUUGGUAUUCCUCAGGGCAUGCCUAUUCGAGCGUCGUUUCGACCUCGAGCGCAGCUUGGUGUUGAGGGAUGCCCCGGCACCCUUUAAAAGCAUCGGCGGCAGCGCAGCUUCAUCGCAGCACAAUGCGUGAAGAGCUGUCACCUGCCCGCCUUUCUCCCCCCUAGGGGACUUUUUACCAGCUCGACCUCGGAUUAGGCAGGGAUACCC
Molecule: ribosomal RNA, 430 nt
Filed under: uncultured Ascomycota
Lineage: Eukaryota; Fungi; Ascomycota
Description: eukaryotic LSU rRNA
Rfam family: 5.8S ribosomal RNA (bases 106-259)
Source: RNAcentral